AUUGAACGCUGGCGGCAGGCCUAACACAUGCAAGUCGAACGGUAACAGGAAGAAGCUUGCUUCUUUGCUGUCGAGUGGCGGACGGGUGAGUAAUGUCUGGGAAACUGCCUGAUGGAGGGGGAUAACUCCUGGAAACGGUAGCUAAUACCGCAUAACGUCGCAAGCCCAAAAAGGGGGACCUGCGGGCGUCUUGCCAUUGGAUUUGCCCAGAAGGGAUUAGCUAGUAGGUGGGGUAACGGCUAACCUAGGCGACGAUCCCUAGCUGGUCUGAGAGGGUGAACAGCCACACUGGAACUGAGACACGGUCCAGACUCCUACGGGAGGCAGCAGUGGGGAAUAUUGCACAAUGGGCGCAAGCCUGAUGCAGCCAUGCCGCGUGUAUGAAGAAGGCCUUCGGGUUGUAAAGUACUUUCAGCGGGGAGGAAGGAAGUAAAGUUAAUACCUGUACUCAUUGACGUUACCCGCAGAAGAAGCACCGGCUAACUCCGUG
RNAcentral lists this ribosomal RNA (490 nucleotides) under uncultured bacterium. RNAcentral describes it as "partial 16S ribosomal RNA". It matches the Rfam family "Bacterial small subunit ribosomal RNA", at positions 30 to 507 of the family's 1533-position model. The record is from RNAcentral.